GCCAGACUCCUACGGGAGGCAGCAGUGAGGAAUAUUGGUCAAUGGGCGGAAGCCUGAACCAGCCAAGUCGCGUGAGGGAUUAAGGCCCUGCGGGUCGUAAACCUCUUUUGCCGGGGAGCAGAGGUCCGGACGUGUCCGGGCCGGGAGAGUACCCGGAGAAAAAGCAUCGGCUAACUCCGUGCCAGCAGCCGCGGUAAUACGGAGGAUGCGAGCGUUAUCCGGAUUUAUUGGGUUUAAAGGGUGCGCAGGCGGAUUUUUAAGUCAGCGGUCAAAUCGUGGGGCUCAACCCCAUCCAGCCGUUGAAACUGGGGAUCUAGAGUGUGCGAGAGGUAUGCGGAAUGCGUGGUGUAGCGGUGAAAUGCAUAGAUAUCACGCAGAACUCCGAUUGCGAAGGCAGCAUACCGGCGCCCAACUGACGCUGAAGCACGAAAGCGUGGGUAUCGAACAGGAUUAGAUACCCCUGUAUG
RNAcentral lists this ribosomal RNA (467 nucleotides) under uncultured bacterium. RNAcentral describes it as "bacterial SSU rRNA". It matches the Rfam family "Bacterial small subunit ribosomal RNA", at positions 330 to 793 of the family's 1533-position model. The record is from RNAcentral.